This 253-nucleotide ribosomal RNA is filed under the name uncultured bacterium. Its description in RNAcentral is "partial 16S ribosomal RNA". It matches the Rfam family "Bacterial small subunit ribosomal RNA", at positions 524 to 776 of the family's 1533-position model. The record is from RNAcentral.
UACAGAGGUCUCAAGCGUUGUUCGGAUUCAUUGGGCGUAAAGGGUGCGCAGGCGGCGGGGCAAGUCGGACGUGAAAUCCCGGGGCUUAACCCCGGAACUGCGUUCGAUACUGCCUUGCUCGAGGACUGGAGAGGAGACUGGAAUUCCUGGUGUAGCAGUGAAAUGCGUAGAUAUCAGGAGGAACGCCAAUGGCGAAGGCAGCUCGCUGGGACGUUACUGACGCUGAGACGCGAAAGCGUGGGGAGCAAACAGG